UGGGCACCCCUGGUCUUGCCCUAUUUGGAUUUUCCUUGACUAGAUAUCUGACCUAGACAAGGAUUCUUCAUAUCUCAUUAUUCAAGAUGAAUUUCUUCUUGAGAUUUGUAUGAAUUAUAGAGCAUUGAGAGACCUUUAGGGUGUGAAAAAUUAGAGAGAAAGAGUGUUGGGCAUGGAGAUAUAAUAGACAUAAAACUAAGUGUCUGGAUUAGA
RNAcentral lists this long non-coding RNA (213 nucleotides) under Elaeis guineensis (African oil palm). Its description in RNAcentral is "long non-coding RNA (EGUI_LNC052476)". Lineage: Eukaryota; Viridiplantae; Streptophyta; Magnoliopsida; Arecales; Arecaceae. The record is from RNAcentral.